Molecule: long non-coding RNA, 590 nt
Filed under: Gallus gallus (chicken)
Lineage: Eukaryota; Metazoa; Chordata; Aves; Galliformes; Phasianidae
Description: lncRNA (ENSGALG00010004282.1)
Source: RNAcentral
CUCUGAUGGCACAAUGCCUCUAACCUCUGCUGGCGCACUACCUCUAUCUCCUAACCACGCUCCCAUCAUCUGCAAGCGGUCUCAGUUCUCCGCAGAUGCUCUUGUCCUCUGCAGACGCUCCACAUCUAUCCUCAGACAGCGCACUACAUCUGACCUCUGCUGGCGCACUACCUCUAUCUUCUGACAAUACUCCCAACAUCUGCAGGCACUCCUUGACCUCCGCAGAUGCUCUUGUCCUCUGCAGACGCUCCAACUCGAUCCUCGGAUGAUGCACUACAUCUAACCUCUGCCAGCGCACUAACUCUGUCUUCUGAUGGUGCUCCUGUCCUUGGCAAUUGCUUCCUGUUCUCCGCAGGUGCUCCUAUCCUCCGCAGAUGCUCCACCUCUAUCCUCUGAAGGCACACUACAUCUAACCUCUGCCGGCGCACUAACUAUGCCUUCUGACAGCGCUCCCGUCCUCCGCACGUGCUCCCUGUUCUCCUCCGGUGCUCCGAUCCUCCGCAGACACUCCACCUCAAUCCUCUGAUGGCACAUUACCUCUAACCUCUGCCGGCGCACUACCUCUAUCUUCUAACCACGCUCCCAUCAUC